UUUUAGUAAGAAGGGCAAGAAACAGAUGGACGCACAGUAAUGUCACUAAAAAUAACGUUUGAAACGUGCCAAAUCUGCUGGACAACUGCUGACAAUCUGACCUCAGAACGACCUUGAAUUGCAAAAAGAAAAACUAAAUGCUGGAACUCUGAAAUGAAGGCAGGAAAAUGAUCCGCCAAAAAAUGGAGAAGGAAAAAGUUUCGCCUUCAGACCCUUGGUUUCAGUGAAAUGUUAUCUGGCAAGAAACAAACAAGUCCCGGAGCAAUGAAAAACAAGUGGAAAGACAUGUUUGGAUUGCUGAUAUAAAAUUGGCUGGCUAGCUCACCAGCACUCUCUUGCGGAAAUGUGUAUAAACUACAACCUGUGAUUGAAUUAGUUUUCUGAUGUACACAUCUCAAGAAAGGACACUUGUCCUAGACUCAUGAAA
This is a long non-coding RNA of Carcharodon carcharias (great white shark), 427 nucleotides long. RefSeq lists it as uncharacterized. The transcript is spliced from 3 exons. NCBI's taxonomy places the organism in Eukaryota, Metazoa, Chordata, Chondrichthyes, Lamniformes, Lamnidae. The record is from RefSeq and is a predicted model, not a curated record.